ACUGCUCAGUAACACGUGGACAACUUACCCAAGAGUCCGGGAUAACCCCGGGAAACUGGGGAUAAUACCGGAUAGAUCAUCUUUGCUGGAAGGCUUGGUGGUUGAAACUUCCGGGGCUUUUGGAUGGGUCUGCGGCUGAUUAGGUUGUUGCCGGUGUAACGUACCGUCAAGCCUGUAAUCAGUACGGGUUGUGGGAGCAAGAGCCCGGAGAUGGAUUCUGAGACACGAAUCCAGGCCCUACGGGGCGCAGCAGGCGCGAAAACUCUACAAUGCAGGCAACUGCGAUAGGGGAACAUCGAGUGAUCCUCAUAUUGGGGGUCUGUCCACCUGUCUAAAAAACGGGUGUUAGCAAGGGCCGGGCAAGACCGGUGCCAGCCGCCGCGGUAAUACCGGCGGCUCGAGUGGUGGCCGAUAUUAUUGAGUCUAAAGGGUCCGUAGCCGGCUUUGCAAGUCUCUCGGGAAAUCCAGCGGCUUAACCGUUGGUCGUCCGGGGGGUACUACAUUGCUUGGGACUGGGAGAGGUAGGAGGUACUCAGGGGGUAGGAGUGAAAUCCUGUAAUCCUUUGGGGACCACCGGUGGCGAAGGCGUCCUACCAGAACAGGUCCGACGGUGAGGGACGAAAGCUAGGGGCACGAACCGGAUUAGAUACCCGGGUAGUCCUAGCCGUAAACGAUGCUCGCUAGGUGUCACAACAGUCGUGAAUUGUUGUGGUGCCGUAGGGAAGCCGUGAAGCGAGCCACUUGGGAAGUACGACCGCAAGGGUUGAAACUUAAAGGAAUUGGCGGGGGAGCA
This 793-nucleotide ribosomal RNA is filed under the name uncultured archaeon. RNAcentral's name for it is "bacterial SSU rRNA". It matches the Rfam family "Archaeal small subunit ribosomal RNA", at positions 85 to 878 of the family's 1478-position model. The record is from RNAcentral.